AACGAGCGCUGGCGGCAGGCCUAACACAUGCAAGUCGAACGAAGUCUUCGGACUUAGUGGCGCACGGGUGAGUAACACGUGGGAAUAUACCUUACGCUGGGGGAUAACAUCGGGAAACUGAUGCUAAUACCGCAUACGCCCUUCGGGGGAAAGAUUUAUCGGCGAAAGAUUAGCCCGCGUCCGAUUAGCUAGUUGGUGAGGUAAUGGCUCACCAAGGCUCCGAUCGGUAGCUGGUCUGAGAGGAUGACCAGCCACACUGGGACUGAGACACGGCCCAGACUCCUACGGGAGGCAGCAGUGGGGAAUAUUGGACAAUGGGCGCAAGCCUGAUCCAGCCAUGCCGCGUGAGUGAUGAAGGCCUUAGGGUUGUAAAGCUCUUUCACCCACGACGAUGAUGACGGUAGUGGGAGAAGAAGCCCCGGCUAACUUCGUG
RNAcentral lists this ribosomal RNA (433 nucleotides) under uncultured bacterium. Its description in RNAcentral is "partial 16S ribosomal RNA". It matches the Rfam family "Bacterial small subunit ribosomal RNA", at positions 29 to 507 of the family's 1533-position model. The record is from RNAcentral.